Molecule: long non-coding RNA, 3474 nt
Organism: Bubalus bubalis (water buffalo)
Lineage: Eukaryota; Metazoa; Chordata; Mammalia; Artiodactyla; Bovidae
Exons: 4
Source: RefSeq, a predicted model, not a curated record
AGCUCUAUGGUGGGGCUAAUGGUGAUCUCCUUCAAGAAGACUUUUGCCACAAACCGUGCCUCCCAGGUCUGUAGCAGCCAGAGACUCUGCCUCCAUGCAAGGCCUCUGCUGAUCCAUGCCUCUGCAGGAGGCACUCAAACCCUUAAAGGCAGGUCUGGCUUAGUCUCUUGUGGGGUCCCUGGGUCCUGGUGCACACAAGGCUUGGUUUGAGCACCCUGAGCUACUUUGGAGGGUAUGGGGUUUGAUUCUGAAUGUGAUAUCACACCUCCUACCAUCUCACUGGGGCUUCUCCUUUGCCCUUGGAUGUGGGGUAUCUUUUCUAGGUGGGGUCCAUCAUUCUCCUGUUGAUAGUUGUCCAUCAGUGAGUUGCAAUUUUGGAAUUUUCUUGGGAGAAGAUGAGUAAACAUGCUUCUACUCUGCCACUUUGAAUCAUUGUGUUGAAUCAGCAUGCAUUUUAGCAUUUCUUUUUUCUGAUCUGUUAGGUUCCCAUUCAUUAAAAUGCAGAAACUCUGAUUUCUUUCCUGUUCCUCUCCUUCAUCCAGCAAAGAGGAUGAUUUAAUGGCAGCUCAGUCAUAGUCACUAACCUCCCACAUGCAUACACUCCACCCCAUGUCCUCGUCAAGAAAACAAACCACGAGCAAUUCCUGAGCAGCCUCACCAGUGUUCUGACAGCUACUCUGUGUCCCUCUAGCUCCCCAUGAAGAAGAGGUGCAGGAACUGCCCCAAGCCUGGACUGAAGAGCAGGCUUUGUGUACCUGGGAGGUGCACAGAACAGCCUAUGAAUAUCAUCAAUACUAAAGGGUCAUCCCUCUGCUGAGGAAAAAUCCAGUUGAUGAAGAAUGGGUUGUGGAGAGCAUUGCAGCAGUGGUAUGGAAGAGAACUCAGGUAGAGAUCAACUUUCAGGUGGGAUUUAGAGGGAGAGGAUUCCUGGACCACUCGGGUUAUACCUGCUUCUUUGGAGAUGAAUGAAGAGUGCCUUGUGGAGAGCAUUUGCUGCAGUGAUGAAGAAGGGGACAGAGGUAGGAAACCACAUUCAGAUGGAUCUGAUGGGAGAGAAUUCCUGGAACUUUUAGAGUUAAACCGCCUGCUUGGAGACUGAGGAAGGUGAACAUGGAAUCAGGAAAAAGGAAAUAUGGGCAGAGCUUUGGUUUGUUCCUUUCAUAUUUUAAUGAUAUGAUAGAGAGAUUGAGUCCUUGGACUUGCACUGUGCUCUGUUUAUAACCACCUUUUCUUGCUUUGCUCUUCAAAACUUAUUUUUCCCAUAGGAGCUGCUCUUUGUUGCUUUUGUCACAGACUAAUAUGGAAGCCUGGACUCUGGUCAGCACAUCUGGGGUACUGCACACUGCAGACUAUGUUUUCUAUUGCAUAUUGAACUAUGAUGACCAUAUCCUGGUGGGCAUAAAGCUCUCAUUGCCACUUGACACUGGAGACAAUGUCCUUGUAGGGCAUGUGAGGUGGUGGGUGAGAUAUGAACUCUCUCCUUCUGCUCUUUCAGGACUUGAGGCUUCCGCUCACGUUUGCCCUCGCUGUUUAUUUGUGCACAGGAUGCUCCCAGGGGUGGAUGAGUCACAGCACACAUGUUCUGGGGUCCCUGCCUGGGUUCAGUCUCCUGGAGCUCAUCUCAGCUUCCACAGCUCCCCGAGGCUGAUGUGCUGAAGGUACUUCCAUGUGAGAGGUCCAUGUCGAGGUAUUCCUAGAGACUCUCCAUUGCCGCAGGAGUCUAGAGGCUGUGAAGGGGCUGCUGGGCUUCUUCGCACACUUGUUUUCACAGUCCUGUUGACCUGGUCUCCUGGAGUUGACCAGGCUCAGGGCAGCAGGUUCUGGGGCCACUGCUCCUCUCAGAACCCACUGCUCCAUCCAGGAAGCCUGUCCCUUUCUCUCCCGACUCCUGUCCUGCCCCAUCCUGUGUCCUUUCCUUACAUCUUCCUAGGUCCCAUCCCUCCCAGUUUUCCAAGUCUCAGUGCAAACCCAGCAGCUACCAUGUGUUUAUUUUGGACGAUCAUUGUCACAUCAUAAUGGCUAAAUGAAAUGGAUGUGUUUGCUUUUGUCCUCUCUAAGAGUCUGGGCAUACACCAUGAUCCUUCCUCCAAUGUGCCCAGGUUGGAUCCUUCCCCUUUGACUGUAAAGUGGGUGGGUUGGACCCAUCCCCAGGUCCUCUCCAGCUCUAAUUCUGCCUGAUUUGAGAGCCAUGAUUGGAGACGAUGGCCACACAUCCAUGAUCUUUCAUCCAAUGAGCCCACAUUGGAGAACUCUAGGGUAGGUGGAGGUUCAAGGAGGAAAGAAAGGAACAGUGAUUAGAGGAGAGGAAUGAAGAAGGAAGUAGAGAGGAAGCAGCGGGAAAAGGAGGAAGGCAAGGUUGUAAGCAGAGAUGCAUGGAGACAGUGACAGCCUGGAAGAGGAACAGGUUGACCCAGCCUCAUUCCUGGUCACACAAAACUUGAGUGUGGCAACAGGAUAUCUGGGGUAGGGGGCAAUCUCUUGAGCAACCCUUUUGGAAAGGCCCUUAUCAGGUUAUUCCUUCCUUUCCCACAGCUGUCAAGGUGCCAGGAAUUGAUUUGUGGGUGCAUCCUGAUCCCAGACUAAGCGAUGCCAUUUUUAUGUCUUUAUUCUCUAUGCUUUUAGUUUUUACUUUUCAGUGGGCCUGAUAACCUAUGUGCUCCUACUUCUGCUGACUCCAUCCUGAGUCUGCUGUUUGACUUUGUCAAGACAAUGACUUCCUGUCCUGGGCUCACAGAUAAGCUGCAUUCCACAAUUGAUCUAAUUGCUGGGUCUGCGGAGUGCUCCCCCUCCUCACCAGCGGCAGGCUUCCCACGGUGGGCUUCUCCACUUCAGGGAAAGGACUUUCUCCAAGUCUGCAUCUACUUUCAUCAACAGCAAUCGUAUGUGAUGCCUCUUCUCAAUCUGAAGACAUCUAACAAUCCUAAGAGGGACUGGUGUAACACUUGGUACCUGAACUAUGGACAUAAUGUGAUUUUUAACCUUGAUUAUACUUUGUCUUGGUUUAAUGAUUGUUUUGCUGCACAGAAGAAGACAAAUGGGUCUAGUCCGGUGGUUUUUCUACUGGAUGUUUAUCAAAUAUGGGAUGAGGUCAUAUGGCUAACUCCUGAAAAAGGGACACCUAAUGUCUAGUGCCCCCAUAUGCUGGGAACAAAUGGAGCCAUCCCCAGAAGUUAGCCAGCAACUUAGUUAUAAUGGCUGGAAACAACUGGGAUUUUUGCCUCAAGAAGCAAUGUAAUCAUUCCUGUGUCUUCUAAUCCCAGUUGAGGUCCUCCUUUUGACUGGCCAGACACUAACUGGGACUAGAUCCCUAAGUUACACUGGCUUGCUCCAAAUGGCACCUACUGGAUAUGUGGCUCUUAUCUAUGAAUGUGGCUUCCCCCCAGAUGGUUAGGGAGAUGCACCCUAGGUCUCCCUGGUAGCUCAGUUGGUAAAGAAUCUGCCUGCAGUGCAGGAGAGCUGGGUUCCAUCCCUGGG